CUUUAUGGGUACGAGGCUUAAAAUCUAAGAUAAAAAGACAAAAAAACUCUAGCAUCCAUAGAGAAAAUUAGCAGGAUGUAGAAAAAGUAUAUUAUAAAUUAAAUGCAAAAGAAAUUUUUCGUUGAUUCAUGAAUCCAUGUUUAUUGUUUGGUUUUUCAAAAAUCUGUUUCUCUGUUUUCUCGGCAAUCUUAGUAAGGCCUUUAUAUGUUUACAUGGUUAAGAAUCUGUAUUGUAGAUCGGUACUUAAGGUUUGAAGUCAACGUAUGAUUAUGUGUAUGCUAAUUCUAAAUGCAUAUUUGAUGCUCCUAAAGAUAAACAUUAAAAAUUGUUCCUGAGUACA
Long non-coding RNA from Homo sapiens (human), 340 nucleotides. The record is from Ensembl. NCBI's taxonomy places the organism in Eukaryota, Metazoa, Chordata, Mammalia, Primates, Hominidae.